RNAcentral lists this ribosomal RNA (800 nucleotides) under uncultured Gammaproteobacteria bacterium. Its description in RNAcentral is "bacterial SSU rRNA". It matches the Rfam family "Bacterial small subunit ribosomal RNA", at positions 75 to 867 of the family's 1533-position model. The record is from RNAcentral. Lineage: Bacteria; Pseudomonadati; Pseudomonadota; Gammaproteobacteria.
GGAGCUUGCUCCAUGGGUGGCGAGUGGCGGACGGGUGAGGAAUACAUGGGAAUCUGCCCAGUCGUGGGGGAUAACGUAGGGAAACUUACGCUAAUACCGCAUGCGCCCUUCGGGGGAAAGCCGGGGACCUUCGGGCCUGGCGCGAUUGGAUGAGCCCAUGUCGGAUUAGCUAGUUGGCGGGGUAAAGGCCCACCAAGGCGACGAUCCGUAGCUGGUCUGAGAGGAUGAUCAGCCACACUGGGACUGAGACACGGCCCAGACUCCUACGGGAGGCAGCAGUAGGGAAUAUUGGACAAUGGGGGCAACCCUGAUCCAGCCAUGCCGCGUGAGUGAAGAAGGCCUUCGGGUUGUAAAGCUCUUUUGUCCGGGAAGAAAAGCAUCUGGCUAAUACCUGGAUGUGUUGACGGUACCGGAAGAAUAAGCACCGGCUAACUUCGUGCCAGCAGCCGCGGUAAUACGAAGGGUGCAAGCGUUACUCGGAAUUACUGGGCGUAAAGCGUGCGUAGGUGGUCUGCUAAGUCUGAUGUGAAAGCCCUGGGCUCAACCUGGGAAUGGCAUUGGAAACUGGUGGGCUAGAGUGCGGUAGAGGGUAGUGGAAUUCCCGGUGUAGCAGUGAAAUGCGUAGAGAUCGGGAGGAACAUUCGUGGCGAAGGCGGCUACCUGGACCAGCACUGACACUGAGGCACGAAAGCGUGGGGAGCAAACAGGAUUAGAUACCCUGGUAGUCCACGCCCUAAACGAUGCGAACUGGAGGUUGGGUGCACUUUGGCGCUCAGUCUCGAAGCUAACGCGUUAAGUUC